GGGCGCCUAGUUCAGUGGUAGAAUGCUUCCUUCACACGGAAGAGGUCGUAGGUUCGAUCCCUACGGCGCCCA
RNAcentral lists this transfer RNA (72 nucleotides) under candidate division WOR-1 bacterium RIFCSPHIGHO2_01_FULL_53_15. Its description in RNAcentral is "tRNA-Val". It matches the Rfam family "tRNA". Rfam says of the family: Transfer RNA (tRNA) molecules are approximately 80 nucleotides in length. Their secondary structure includes four short double-helical elements and three loops (D, anti-codon, and T loops). RNAcentral also lists the same sequence under 2 other names. Lineage: Bacteria; Bacillati. The record is from RNAcentral.